This 253-nucleotide ribosomal RNA is filed under the name uncultured bacterium. Its description in RNAcentral is "partial 16S ribosomal RNA". It matches the Rfam family "Bacterial small subunit ribosomal RNA", at positions 524 to 776 of the family's 1533-position model. The record is from RNAcentral.
UACGAAGGGGGCUAGCGUUGUUCGGAAUCACUGGGCGUAAAGCGCACGUAGGCGGACUUUCAAGUCAGGGGUGAAAUCCCGGGGCUCAACCUCGGAAUUGCCUUUGAUACUGUAGGUCUCGAGUCCGGAAGAGGUGGGUGGAAUUCCUAGUGUAGAGGUGAAAUUCGUAGAUAUUAGGAAGAGCACCGGUGGCGAAGGCGGCCCACUGGUCCGGUACUGACGCUGAGGUGCGAAAGCGUGGGGAGCAAACAGG